CAGAUGUCCAUAUGGAGUAGCUUAGUC
Molecule: non-coding RNA, 27 nt
Filed under: Rattus norvegicus (Norway rat)
Lineage: Eukaryota; Metazoa; Chordata; Mammalia; Rodentia; Muridae
Source: RNAcentral